This 484-nucleotide ribosomal RNA is filed under the name uncultured bacterium. RNAcentral's name for it is "partial 16S ribosomal RNA". It matches the Rfam family "Bacterial small subunit ribosomal RNA", at positions 30 to 507 of the family's 1533-position model. The record is from RNAcentral.
AUUGAACGCUGGCGGCAGGCCUAACACAUGCAAGUCGAGCGGAUGAACGGUGCUUGCUCCUGGAUUCAGCGGCGGACGGGUGAAUAAUGCCUAGGAAUCUGCCUGGUAGUGUUGUAUAACGUCCGGAAACGGGCGCUAAUACCGCAUACGUCCUGAGGGAGAAAGGGGGGGAUCUUCGGACCUCACGCUAUCAGAUGAUCCUAGGUCGGAUUAGCUAGUUGGUGGGGUAAAGGCCUACCAAGGCGACGAUCCGUAACUGGUCUGAGAGGAUGAUCAGUCACACUGGAACUGAGACACGGUCCAGACUCCUACGGGAGGCAGCAGUGGGGAAUAUUGGACAAUGGGCGAAAGCCUGAUCCAGCCAUGCCGCGUGUGUGAAGAAGGUCUUCGGAUUGUAAAGCACUUUAAGUUGGGAGGAAGGGCAGUAAGUUAAUACCUUGCUGUUUUGACGUUACCAAAAGAAUAAGCACCGGCUAACUUCGUG